UCUAUACCUCUUUCUUUUCCUUCUCUCUUUUUCGCUUUCCAUCCAUCGAUCCAUUCUUGAAUGAACGAUCUCUUGGCAUAUGAUGAUAAGCAAUCGAGAAAUUGUCUAGGCGCCGCACAUAAAAAAAAAGAAAAAAAA
This 138-nucleotide non-coding RNA is filed under the name Chromera velia. Lineage: Eukaryota; Chromeraceae. The record is from RNAcentral.